UACAGAGGUCUCGAGCGUUGUUCGGAUUCAUUGGGCGUAAAGGGUGCGUAGGUGGCGCUGUAAGUCGGGUGUGAAAUCCUGAGGCUUAACCUCGGAACUGCAUUCGAUACUGCGGCGCUUGAGGACUGGAGAGGAGACUGGAAUUCAUGGUGUAGCAGUGAAAUGCGUAGAGAUCAGGAGGAACACCCAUGGCGAAGGCAGCUCUCUGGUCGACCUCUGACGCUGAGACGCGAAAGCGUGGGGAGCGAACGGG
RNAcentral lists this ribosomal RNA (253 nucleotides) under uncultured bacterium. RNAcentral's name for it is "partial 16S ribosomal RNA". It matches the Rfam family "Bacterial small subunit ribosomal RNA", at positions 524 to 776 of the family's 1533-position model. The record is from RNAcentral.